AAGACCCCGGGACCUUUACUAUAGUUUGAUAUUGGUGUUCGGUUCGGCUUGUGUAGGAUAGCUGGGAGACUGUGAAGUGGGCACGCCAGUGUCUGUGGAGUCGUCGUUGAAAUACCAGUCUGGUCGUGCUGGAUGUCUAACCUGGGUCCGUGAUCCGGAUCAGGGACAGUGUCUGAUGGGUAGUUUAACUGGGGCGGUUGCCUCCUAAAGAGUAACGGAGGCGCCCAAAGGUUCCCUCAGCCUGGUUGGCAAUCAGGUGUUGAGUGUAAGUGCACAAGGGAGCUUGACUGUGAGACCGACGGGUCGAGCAGGGACGAAAGUCGGGACUAGUGAUCCGGCGGUGGCUUGUGGAAGCGCCGUCGCUCAACGGAUAAAAGGUACCCCGGGGAUAACAGGCUGAUCUUCCCCAAGAGUCCAUAUCGACGGGAUGGUUUGGCACCUCGAUGUCGGCUCGUCGCAUCCUGGGGCUGGAGUCGGUCCCAAGGGUUGGGCUGUUCGCCCAUUAAAGCGGUACGCGAGCUGGGUUUAGAACGUCGUGAGACAGUUCGGUCCCUAUCCGCUGCGCGCGCAGGAACAUUGAGAAGGGCUGUCCCUAGUACGAGAGGACCGGGACGGACGAACCUCUGGUGUGCCAGUUGUCCUGCCAAGGGCAUGGCUGGUUGGCUACGUUCGGGAGGGAUAACCGCUGAAAGCAUCUAAGCGGGAAGCCUGCUUCGAGAUGAGUGUUCCCACCCACUAGAUGGGGUAAGGCUCCCAGUAGACGACUGGGUUGAUAGGCCAGAUCUGGAAGCCCGGUAACGGGUGGAGGUGACUGGUACUAAUAGGCCGAGGGCUUGUCCUC
Molecule: non-coding RNA, 841 nt
Filed under: Streptomyces turgidiscabies Car8
Lineage: Bacteria; Bacillati; Actinomycetota; Actinomycetes; Kitasatosporales; Streptomycetaceae
Description: Bacterial large subunit ribosomal RNA
Rfam family: Bacterial large subunit ribosomal RNA
Source: Rfam by way of RNAcentral